GGAUUGUGGCUCAAUGGCAGAGCGCUUGCCUCAUAUGUGUGAGGCUGAGUUCGAUCCUCAGCACCA
RNAcentral lists this transfer RNA (66 nucleotides) under Marmota monax (woodchuck). RNAcentral describes it as "tRNA.Met". Lineage: Eukaryota; Metazoa; Chordata; Mammalia; Rodentia; Sciuridae. The record is from RNAcentral.